This 422-nucleotide ribosomal RNA is filed under the name Laparocerus lauripotens. RNAcentral describes it as "partial 16S ribosomal RNA". The record is from RNAcentral. Lineage: Eukaryota; Metazoa; Arthropoda; Insecta; Coleoptera; Curculionidae.
GGUAAUUUGACCGUGCAAAGGUAGCAUAAUCCUUAGUUUUUUAAUUGAAAGCUGGAAUGAAAGGUUGGAUGAGAAAAAAGCCGUCUCUGUUUAAUUUAUUUAGAAUUUUAUUUUUAAGUUAAAAAGCUUAAAUUUAAAUAGAAGACGAGAAGACCCUAUAGAGUUUUAUUAUUUUUUUUUAUAAAAAUAAUAGUAUUUUUUAAUUUUAUAGGUAAAAUUAAUUUAGUUGGGGUGAUUAAAAAAUUAAAUUAACUUUUUUUUUAUAAAUACAUUUAUAUAUGAUUAUUUGAUCCUUAAUUUGAGAUUAAAAGAUAAAAUUACCUUAGGGAUAACAGCGUAAUUUUUUUUGAGAGUUCUAAUCGAAAAAAAAGAUUGCGACCUCGAUGUUGGAUUAAAAUAAAAUUUUGGUGUAGAAGCUAAAA